AGCCCCGAGGUGAUGUACCACAUUGAAUUGCAAAUUCAAAGAAGCAGCUUCAACUCUGCCGGGGCUU
This is a transfer RNA of 67 nucleotides. It matches the Rfam family "tRNA". From Rfam's summary of the family: Transfer RNA (tRNA) molecules are approximately 80 nucleotides in length. Their secondary structure includes four short double-helical elements and three loops (D, anti-codon, and T loops). Further hydrogen bonds mediate the characteristic L-shaped molecular structure. tRNAs have two regions of fundamental functional importance: the anti-codon, which is responsible for specific mRNA codon recognition, and the 3' end, to which the tRNAs corresponding amino acid is attached (by aminoacyl-tRNA synthetases). tRNAs cope with the degeneracy of the genetic code in two manners: having more than one tRNA (with a specific anti-codon) for a particular amino acid; and 'wobble' base-pairing, i.e. permitting non-standard base-pairing at the 3rd anti-codon position.